This is a long non-coding RNA of Brassica napus (rape), 1341 nucleotides long. RefSeq lists it as uncharacterized. Lineage: Eukaryota; Viridiplantae; Streptophyta; Magnoliopsida; Brassicales; Brassicaceae. The record is from RefSeq and is a predicted model, not a curated record. The transcript has 7 exons.
GUUGAAGGGCUCAAAACAACGAAGCCCAUCAUAAAAAAAAAAAAAUUAGCGGUUAAGAUAGGAUUCGAUUAGGUCAGAAAUACUCACCCCUGACCCCUCCUACCCUUGAUUGUCACCCAUCUGAAACGCUAAAAUCACUUUCUUUUCCAUUUAAAGCUCAUCUCCUUCUCUUUCUCGCCCUCUGAUGAACGUUUCUCUCUCAACCAUUGCGACGAGUGCUCCCUUCACACUACUAAACUCAACAACUCCUCCGAUCUCUGCGUCUCCUUCGCUUUACUAUCAAAGCUUGAAGCAUUUGAUAACUGAAAGACACCUGAAAACCUAUAAAUAGAAGAGGGUUGAGACUGGAAUCUAGCAUCUCAUACACGGUCUUUGAGAUUCUCUUUCGUCAAACCUUAGAUCACUUUCCUCCACUGCAAUUGCUACUCAAUCUGCUGCUCCACACACCGGCCACCAAAUUUUAUUUUUAGCUGAGCAUUGCUGCCAUCAAAGCUUUCAAAACCAGAUGGAAACGACAAUCACCGGAGGGAUACGUACGCUUGAGAGGUGCGGCAACUGAGCUUUUCCCAUGUGUAGAGACAAUGGUAGAGAUUCAAAAGAAAGAAUUUGUGACAAAUGGAGCCAUACCUCUCCAAGUAAAACGCACAUCCAGGGAGCUGACUUCCUGAGCAGGAUCGUCAGUGUGCUGCAGAAAAAUGGAGAGCCUUAUCUUUCUUUAGUUGGACAAAUCACAGACUUCGCUCCGGUUCAACAAAUGUGUCUCACCAAACCUGUGUUAUCAGGUUACGUGUUGAGCUAGCUGGUGACGAUGGUGAAGACAGUGCUAUGUUUGUCGUGUUUUACACAAAAAUGACGCAACUCACCUAGAUAGAAGCAGCCUCACUGGCUCUUGAGAGAUUCGAUUGACACCCUACAAUUUCACUCCCAACCACCUCACCUUCACGGUGUCUGCAAUUACUGAAGACGUGGCUGUGAAGACUCAUUCAAGGGUGAAAGCAUCAACAAGUCCUACAAGCGGCAGGCCAGAGUGACAACCAUCCACCUGAUUCUGGCAUCCCACUGUGAGUGAAUCUUAGAAGUGUGUGAAGCCAUCGUUCUUACCAAGUUUUCUUCUCAUUCGUUGCAAACUCUAUCCAAUAAGUUUUUCCCUUUGUUUCAGUUUCUCAUGUUUAUCUUUUUUUUUUAAAUUCUGCAACAAGUUCCUGCUGAAGAAAAUAAAAGUUUCUACUGGGAGCAGUGUUAUUUUCAUUUUAGUGAAGGGAAGCUUGAAAGCUAUUUACAUAUUUACAAACAUUGUCUGUUAUCUAUAUACUUUAUACACCUUACAUAGAUUUUAUACUA